RNAcentral lists this ribosomal RNA (433 nucleotides) under uncultured bacterium. RNAcentral's name for it is "partial 16S ribosomal RNA". It matches the Rfam family "Bacterial small subunit ribosomal RNA", at positions 29 to 507 of the family's 1533-position model. The record is from RNAcentral.
AACGAACGCUGGCGGCAUGCCUAACACAUGCAAGUCGAACGGGACCUUCGGGUCUAGUGGCGCACGGGUGCGGAACGCGUGGGAACCUGCCCUUAGGUUCGGAAUAACUCCCCGAAAGGGGUGCUAAUACCGGAUAGGGUCUUCGGACCAAAGAUGUAUGGCCGUUGGAUGGGCCCGCGUUGGAUUAGCUGGUUGGUAGGGUAAAAGCCUAGCAAGGAGACGAUCCAUAGCUGGUCUGGGAGGAGGAUCAGCCACACUGGGACUGAGGCCCGGCCCAGACUCCUACGGAAGGGAGGAGAGGAGAGUACAGGAGGCUGGGGGAAAGCGUGACCACGCCACGCCGGGGAAGUGAUGCAGGCCUUAGGGAUGUAAAGCUCUUUUACCCGAGGUGUUAAUGACGGUACCGGGAGAAGAAGCUCCGGCUAACUACGUG